AACGAACGCUGGCGGCAUGCCUAACACAUGCAAGUCGAACGAGACCUUCGGGUCUAGUGGCGCACGGGUGCGUAACGCGUGGGAACCUGCCCUUAGGUUCGGAAUAACUCCCCGAAAGGGGUGCUAAUACCGGAUAAUGUCUUCGGACCAAAGAUUUAUCGCCUUUGGAUGGGCCCGCGUUGGAUUAGCUAGUUGGUAGGGUAAAAGCCUACCAAGGCGACGAUCCAUAGCUGGUCUGAGAGGAUGAUCAGCCACACUGGGACUGAGACACGGCCCAAGCUUCUUACGGAAGGCAGAGGUGGGGAAUAUUGAACAUUGGGCGAAAGCUUGAUCAAGCAAUGCGGCGUGAGUAAGAAAGGCUUUGGGGUGGUAAAGCUCUUUUCCCGGGAUGAUAAUGACAGUACCGGGAGAAUAAGCUCCGGCUAACUCCGUG
RNAcentral lists this ribosomal RNA (433 nucleotides) under uncultured bacterium. RNAcentral's name for it is "partial 16S ribosomal RNA". It matches the Rfam family "Bacterial small subunit ribosomal RNA", at positions 29 to 507 of the family's 1533-position model. The record is from RNAcentral.